Long non-coding RNA from Arabidopsis thaliana (thale cress), 280 nucleotides. RefSeq annotates it as other RNA. The transcript has a single exon. The record is from RefSeq. NCBI's taxonomy places the organism in Eukaryota, Viridiplantae, Streptophyta, Magnoliopsida, Brassicales, Brassicaceae.
AUCCUCUUUAUGUCUUCUAAAACACUGUAAAUAUACAAAACCCAACUUCUGUAGAUCCAAAACAUAACUCUAGUGCAACAAAAUUUGAAGUCUUAGAUUCAACAACUCUAAAUCAGUAGAUUAGUAAAAUUAAGCUACCAGAGAUCAAAUAUAUAUCAGAUCCGAAGCUAACAUCCAAAUGAAUAAAACCUUAACCCUAAGAAUACGAAGCAGAACCAAAACUUAGCUCUAUGAAAUCCGAGAAUCGGAAACUUUACCUGCAAAUCCUCGGAGGCCAGCA